GGGCCCGCACAAGCGGUGGAGCAUGUGGUUUAAUUCGAUGAUACGCGAGGAACCUUACCAGGGCUUAAAUGUAGUAUGACCGGCUUGGAAACAGGCCUUCUCUUCGGAGCAGAUUACAAGGUGCUGCAUGGUUGUCGUCAGCUCGUGCCGUGAGGUGUUAGGUUAAGUCCUGCAACGAGCGCAACCCCUAUUCUUAGUUGCCAGCGGUUCGGCCGGGGACUCUAAAGAAACUGCCCGUGAUAAGCGGGAGGAAGGUGUGGAUGACGUCAAGUCCUCAUGGCCCUUACGGGUUGGGCUACACACGUGCUACAAUGGUAGUGACAAUGGGCUAAUCCCAAAAAACUAUCUCAGUUCGGAUUGUCGUCUGCAACUCGACGGCAUGAAGUCGGAAUCGCUAGUAAUCG
This 404-nucleotide ribosomal RNA is filed under the name uncultured bacterium. RNAcentral's name for it is "bacterial SSU rRNA". It matches the Rfam family "Bacterial small subunit ribosomal RNA", at positions 917 to 1344 of the family's 1533-position model. The record is from RNAcentral.